This is a non-coding RNA of Arachis ipaensis, 461 nucleotides long. The record is from RefSeq and is a predicted model, not a curated record. NCBI's taxonomy places the organism in Eukaryota, Viridiplantae, Streptophyta, Magnoliopsida, Fabales, Fabaceae.
GUCGUUGCCAUGCGUUUUUGCCGUCGCCGCUAGUUUCGCUACCGUUGAGCUCGAAGGAGAAAGGGAGAGCGACGCUGACAAAGAGAUUGACGGAAGCCAGUGAAGCGCGUGAGACAAGGGAAGCCGAUUCUGUCACCGCCGCCGCACCCAGUUGCCGUCGUUCGAGCUCGCCGUCACUGGAGAUGAACCGGUGUCGUGUCCUUGCGGCCAGAGCCACCAGCGCCACUACUACUACUCAAAUUCCGCUUCUCUUCCAUUAGGGUUUGCUAUCUCAGCAGCCUUUUUGAAGCUAGACUUAGUUAGAGAUAAGGCAAUGAUUAUUGUUGCAUGGAAUGGAUCCGGGAAUCCAAGUACAAUUUUUAAUGGUGAUGUCUUCAAGAAGGUGCUGAGUGUGUUUAUAACAGCAGCCAUAUUGAAACUUGGACAAGCUACUCUGGAUGUGAUUCUCAGUUGGAAAGCUC